AUGCACAGACACACGCGUGUGCUCAGAAUGAACACAUGUGGAAGAGAGGUGUGUUCAGGGCAGGCGAUGCGCAAAGGGCCACGCGCCCGUCGCAGGGACAAAAGCCAGCGUGUGUGCCGAGGCCGCCAGCAGGAGGGAGCCGGCCCUGCGGCCAUGCGCCCCGGAUGCCCACCGCGCGGGCGUCAGGACGGACCCUGCCCCCUGGGCCUGGGGAGCCCUCCCACACGGAGGCGAGCUGGAGGAGGGAGGGGCAGCAGGCACUGGAGGCCAUAUCGUCAUUCCAGGGACAGGCAGCGUGGGGCUCCAGCGCUCGGCCUCCCAAGCCCAGGCACCCAGCGCCGGCGAGCACAUGCUCCCGGUCCCAGGGAGACGGUCUCCUCCCCACGGGGGAUGGGACGGGCGGUGGCCACCUGCAGCUGGACCAGAUGUGAAGAGGAGCUCUGUGGGGGGCUCGCUGCCUCUGGAGUGAGGGUGACGGCCCAGGGCCAGGGUCCCUGAGGCCCACGCACCUGCGCUGGCCCUGCGCUGGCCCUGGGGCCUGCCGGAGCAGGUGGCAGUGAGCAGUGGGCACAAGAUGCAGAGGUGUGGGCGAGCAGACAGCACGGGGCGGGGGGCCCAGCUGGGUCAGUACCUGUCACUCUGAGGACACGGCCACCACAGCCUUCAGGCACUGUUCAGGGGCUUAAACUGCCAGCCCGUGUGGCCGCCAGAGUCCAGGGCGGCCAGAUAGCGCUAGGAGGGUGCGGGGCGGGAGGAGUGCAGGAAAGAGAGAGAGAGAGGGCAGCCUCAACGCCAGGCGAGGACCGGCCCGAGUCGGGCCGCGGGUUUAGCCUAGAGCGCCGCUGGGGGAUCCGCCAGGAGCACACGCAGCCUGGGGCCAGGGCGGGCCCGCUGCAUCGGCGGGCGUGUGUGUCUGAAGCCAGAUGGCCCUUAGCUUCUCCGGCCUGCUCCUGGAGGCCCGCCACCUCCAGGAAGCCCUUCAGGACCCGUGGCCUCUGUAAGCUGCUUUCUUUGGCACCAAACCAUCCUAUCCCCCUUUUCAUGUCUCAUUCCCGAGACCAGAAGUGAAGCUAGCAGAGCCCAAGGCCAGGCCCAUCUGGAAGAGCCUGGGGGAGACCUGGGUCGAGUUCAGGAAGCUGAGGGAGAAGCUGCAGGGCUCAGGUGGGCGGAGGUGCCCCGGCCUCCUGGAAGAGCUCACGCGCACAGGCCAGUGGCCCGCCCGAGGGCCCCGGCUGGGGCUCCCCCUGCAGCCCCGCACCGAAGGCUCAGGGCAGCCUGUGGGGCCUGUGCCGCCCGGGAAGCCACCGCGGGCAUGAAGCGGCGGGGCGGAGCCCCCACCCUGGCCUCAGACCCCCCGCUCCAGCCUCUGGCCCGAGACUUACUGAAGGCGGCGGGGACUCGCGCCCAAUGAGGGGGGGGUUCUCACAGCGAGGGUUCUGGAAAUUGGCAUUCUGGCUCCUGAGGUGAGAGGAGAGGGCCCUGGGUCAGUGGGCCCACCUGGGAACCAGGCAGACCCCAUCCCACAGACAGCCCGCUAGCGAGUGCCUGGGGUCCCAGGAGCCCAGCAGAGAGGGGCUGCGAGCAGGCCCAUGGCUAACGCUGCCGCCCCAGCCCACCACGUGGCCAGGCCUGGGGCCCUUGGCUACAGGAUCCCAUGUGCUGACCAGACUCUGUCUGACAGUGGUCCCCUGUGGCCUCCACCCAGGGGUGUGGCAGCAGCAAGCACUCAGAGCCCGGGAGCUGCCCCGCGUGCAGGGCCCCCUCCACCCCCGCUCCGCGCCUCGCUCAGGCACCCCAGGACAGUGGCUGCACCCUGAGCAGCCUACCCAGCGCCCGGCGCCCUGCGCGCGCCCAACUCACAUGUACUCGGUGACUGGGGCGUUGCUGACGGUGUGGGCCGCAGCCGGGAUGCUGGCCUCGCUGCCGUAGCUGCUGCCACAGCUGUACAGACUGGGCAUGUGGACACGGUAGAGGCUGUCGUGCGCCUGCCGAGGCCCUGGGGCGGCCUCCUCCUCCCCAUCCUCGUCGGGGCCUCUGCGGGAGGGACACCGGCGCGGGGUCAGGCCUGAUGCUGGCACGGGGCCGCAGGCCAGAGGCCAGCUCUGGGGCAGACAUGCCUGCUUGCAGUCCUGGGUCUGCAGGGCUGUAGGUAAGGCUCCCGGGGACACAGGGAGGGGACCCCGCUCAGGUGGGGACCCCGCCCCUGCCGGCUGCUCGCUCGCCUGUCUCCCAGGCUGGGGGCCCCUCUAGGCCGGUCGUGAAGCAGGAGCGCCCACCUCAGACCCACCGGCCUCGUGGUGGCUGCAGAGCCCCGGGAGCUCCAAGGNNNNNNNNNNNNNNNNNNNNNNNNNNNNNNNNNNNNNNNNNNNNNNNNNNNNNNNNNNNNNNNNNNNNNNNNNNNNNNNNNNNNNNNNNNNNNNNNNNNNCCCCCCGGGGGCGCCCGGGGGGGGGGCCCCCAGGCGCCGCGCGGCCCCCAGGCGGGCCCCAGGAUCCCUCACCUCUUUUGCUGCCAGGUGUGCGGGACACUGCAUACGAUGGAGCUGAACAUGAGGGCCGUGACGAAGGAGAAGAGGGCCAGGUAGAUGAGGCCCUCGACGCCGUCGUAGCAGAAGCCCGUGAGGGCCUGCACAUAGUCCUGGGGCCGGGCAUGGAAGAGAGAACGGGAGACGCACAGGGUGAGAUGGAGCGCGCGGGCCUGAACCAUGCCAGACCCAAGGCAGGCAGAGGCCCCGUUCGUAUAACUUCGUAUAAUGUAUG
This 2757-nucleotide long non-coding RNA is filed under the name Ovis aries (sheep). RNAcentral's name for it is "lncRNA (ENSOARG00000025907.1)". The record is from RNAcentral. Lineage: Eukaryota; Metazoa; Chordata; Mammalia; Artiodactyla; Bovidae.